This 1320-nucleotide ribosomal RNA is filed under the name Paenarthrobacter sp. RNAcentral's name for it is "bacterial SSU rRNA". It matches the Rfam family "Bacterial small subunit ribosomal RNA", at positions 90 to 1421 of the family's 1533-position model. The record is from RNAcentral. Lineage: Bacteria; Bacillati; Actinomycetota; Actinomycetes; Micrococcales; Micrococcaceae.
GAUUAGUGGCGAACGGGUGAGUAACACGUGAGUAACCUGCCCUUGACUCUGGGAUAAGCCUGGGAAACUGGGUCUAAUACCGGAUACGACCAUCUGACGCAUGUCAUGGUGGUGGAAAGCUUUUGUGGUUUUGGAUGGACUCGCGGCCUAUCAGCUUGUUGGUGGGGUAAUGGCCUACCAAGGCGACGACGGGUAGCCGGCCUGAGAGGGUGACCGGCCACACUGGGACUGAGACACGGCCCAGACUCCUACGGGAGGCAGCAGUGGGGAAUAUUGCACAAUGGGCGCAAGCCUGAUGCAGCGACGCCGCGUGAGGGAUGACGGCCUUCGGGUUGUAAACCUCUUUCAGUAGGGAAGAAGCGAAAGUGACGGUACCUGCAGAAGAAGCGCCGGCUAACUACGUGCCAGCAGCCGCGGUAAUACGUAGGGCGCAAGCGUUAUCCGGAAUUAUUGGGCGUAAAGAGCUCGUAGGCGGUUUGUCGCGUCUGCUGUGAAAGACCGGGGCUCAACUCCGGUUCUGCAGUGGGUACGGGCAGACUAGAGUGCAGUAGGGGAGACUGGAAUUCCUGGUGUAGCGGUGAAAUGCGCAGAUAUCAGGAGGAACACCGAUGGCGAAGGCAGGUCUCUGGGCUGUAACUGACGCUGAGGAGCGAAAGCAUGGGGAGCGAACAGGAUUAGAUACCCUGGUAGUCCAUGCCGUAAACGUUGGGCACUAGGUGUGGGGGACAUUCCACGUUUUCCGCGCCGUAGCUAACGCAUUAAGUGCCCCGCCUGGGGAGUACGGCCGCAAGGCUAAAACUCAAAGGAAUUGACGGGGGCCCGCACAAGCGGCGGAGCAUGCGGAUUAAUUCGAUGCAACGCGAAGAACCUUACCAAGGCUUGACAUGAACCGGAAAGACCUGGAAACAGGUGCCCCGCUUGCGGUCGGUUUACAGGUGGUGCAUGGUUGUCGUCAGCUCGUGUCGUGAGAUGUUGGGUUAAGUCCCGCAACGAGCGCAACCCUCGUUCUAUGUUGCCAGCGCGUUAUGGCGGGGACUCAUAGGAGACUGCCGGGGUCAACUCGGAGGAAGGUGGGGACGACGUCAAAUCAUCAUGCCCCUUAUGUCUUGGGCUUCACGCAUGCUACAAUGGCCGGUACAAAGGGUUGCGAUACUGUGAGGUGGAGCUAAUCCCAAAAAGCCGGUCUCAGUUCGGAUUGGGGUCUGCAACUCGACCCCAUGAAGUCGGAGUCGCUAGUAAUCGCAGAUCAGCAACGCUGCGGUGAAUACGUUCCCGGGCCUUGUACACACCGCCCGUCAAGUCACGAAAGUUGGUAACACC